RNAcentral lists this unclassified non-coding RNA (236 nucleotides) under plant metagenome. Its description in RNAcentral is "partial contains small subunit ribosomal RNA, internal transcribed spacer 1, and 5.8S ribosomal RNA". The record is from RNAcentral.
UAUCCGUAGGUGAACCUGCGGAAGGAUCAUUACUGAGUGAGGGCCCCUCGGGGUCCAACCUCCCACCCGUGUUUAACGAACCUUGUUGCUUCGGCGGGCCCGCCUCACGGCCGCCGGGGGGCAUUUGCCCCCGGGCCCGCGCCCGCCGAAGCCACCUGUGAACGCUGUCUGAAGUAUGCAGUCUGAGACAAUUAUUAAAUUAAUUAAAACUUUCAACAACGGAUCUCUUGGUUCCG